This is a long non-coding RNA of Tachyglossus aculeatus (Australian echidna), 948 nucleotides long. RefSeq lists it as uncharacterized. NCBI's taxonomy places the organism in Eukaryota, Metazoa, Chordata, Mammalia, Monotremata, Tachyglossidae. The record is from RefSeq and is a predicted model, not a curated record. The transcript has 6 exons.
UACCAUCAUCAUCAUCAUCAUCUCCUCAUCUGUUCAUUUAGGGUCAGAUCCCUGCCUCUUCCUACCUCUUAGGUCGUGAGCCCCGUCUGGGGUGGGAGACUACAGUCCUUCUGAUUAUCCUGAACCUUCCCCAGGGCUGGGCAUGUAGUUAGCGCUUAAAAUCCCACCGUGAUGGUUGUUAUCUUUAUUUUCUGACGUGUCUACACUCCCUCUCCAGCCAGUUGGGGCCUCGCACACUGCAUUGUGAACACGGGGCUGAAAACAAAGAUGGCCACAAGAAAUCUGCUUUUUCAGCCUCUGAAAUUCCAAGUGGAAAGACCGUGGUGAUGCCCGCCAAAGGAAGGACGCUCUGAUUCUGGAUCGGCUCCCAGAGGAAGCAUCCUUGCCCCUUGGGAGCGGGAUAGAUUCUGAGGGAAAAGACCUGGCGAAGGGGGAGGUGGCGAAGAGGGUGCGUGUGGAUACCAUCUUCCUCCAAAGCCAACUAGCGACAUGAAGAAGUUCUGGCCGGUCAGGAGGCAGCCCCGGCUUCAGACAUCUCCUCCACUGGAUUGAAAGUUGGGGAGGGGACCAGUAGGACCUGCUCUUCCCUGGUCGCAGCAUUGUUGUUCAACCUCCCUGGGCUUCGGGUUCCCCGCCUGUAAAACGGCAGGGGUGGUGGCGGUCCCCGACCGACCUGCUUCACGGGACCGGGAUGGCUAAUGGCUGGAAAUGAAGUAGCUGGGACAGCGCCGAGCUGAAAGUGAAAAGGAGCGUAAACAUGUUACCUUGCUUCCAGCGGCCAAGGCGUAGCCGCCUCCCACCAGAACCACGAUCUCCCACGGCAUUGUCUUCUGGAAGUCCUUCCAGCGGGGCUUCUUGGCCGGGAUGAGGAAGAGGAGGAAGCCGAGGAAGACGGAGACGGUGGCAUCGGUGCGGUAGCCUUUCCUGAUGAAGAAAUUGAGGCCCAGG